GUCCGGGCCAGGCCCACUGCUGUUCCUUGGUCUAUAACCUGGGCUGCUGUCUGGUACUGGUAGUCUGAGUUAUUGAAAACAGAGACCACAGGCGACAGUUUUGCCGUAAGCCGCACUGGCAGUUACAGGCCUGAAAUGUGUGUUGAAGACAAAACCACAGCUGGAAUGGAUGGUGGCAAUACUUGUCUGCCAGGUCAGUGGUGCCUACAUUGGACGUCUGGUCUUUUUUCAGUUGGAGAGAACCAGUAAAAACAUU
Molecule: long non-coding RNA, 256 nt
Organism: Perca fluviatilis (European perch)
Lineage: Eukaryota; Metazoa; Chordata; Actinopteri; Perciformes; Percidae
Exons: 3
Source: RefSeq, a predicted model, not a curated record